UACGUAGGGUGCGAGCGUUAAUCGGAAUUACUGGGCGUAAAGCGAGCGCAGACGGUUACUUAAGCAGGAUGUGAAAUCCCCGGGCUCAACCUGGGAACUGCGUUCUGAACUGGGUGACUAGAGUGUGUCAGAGGGAGGUAGAAUUCCACGUGUAGCAGUGAAAUGCGUAGAGAUGUGGAGGAAUACCGAUGGCGAAGGCAGCCUCCUGGGAUAACACUGACGUUCAUGCUCGAAAGCGUGGGUAGCAAACAGGAUUAGA
RNAcentral lists this ribosomal RNA (259 nucleotides) under uncultured Neisseriales bacterium. Its description in RNAcentral is "partial 16S ribosomal RNA". It matches the Rfam family "Bacterial small subunit ribosomal RNA", at positions 524 to 782 of the family's 1533-position model. The record is from RNAcentral. Lineage: Bacteria; Pseudomonadati; Pseudomonadota; Betaproteobacteria; Neisseriales.